CGUGUAGGCGGGUCUUUAAGUCAGGGGUGAAAUGCCAAGGCUCAACCUUGGAACUGCCUUUGAUACUGGAGAUCUUGAGUCCGGGAGAGGUGAGUGGAAUUGCGAGUGUAGAGGUGAAAUUCGUAGAUAUUCGCAAGAACACCAGUGGCGAAGGCGGCUCACUGGCCCGGAACUGACGCUGAGACGCGAAAGCGUGGGGAGCAAACAGGAUUAGAUACCCUGGUAGUCCACGCUGUAAACGAUGGAUGCUAGCCGUUGGGGAGCUUGCUCUUCAGUGGCGCAGCUAACGCUUUAAGCAUCCCGCCUGGGGAGUACGGUCGCAAGAUUAAA
RNAcentral lists this ribosomal RNA (330 nucleotides) under uncultured bacterium. RNAcentral describes it as "bacterial SSU rRNA". It matches the Rfam family "Bacterial small subunit ribosomal RNA", at positions 568 to 898 of the family's 1533-position model. The record is from RNAcentral.